AACGAACGCUGGCGGCAGGCUUAACACAUGCAAGUCGAGCGCCCCGCAAGGGGAGCGGCAGACGGGUGAGUAACGCGUGGGAAACUACCCUUUGGUACGGAAUAACACAGAGAAAUUUGUGCUAAUACCGUAUGUGCCCUUCGGGGGAAAGAUUUAUCGCCAUAGGAUGUGCCCGCGUCGGAUUAGCUAGUUGGUAGGGUAAUGGCCUACCAAGGCGACGAUCCGUAGCUGGUCUGAGAGGAUGAUCAGCCACACUGGGACUGAGACACGGCCCAGACUCCUACGGGAGGCAGCAGUGGGGAAUUUUGGACAAUGGGCGAAAGCCUGAUCCAGCCAUGCCGCGUGCAGGAUGAAGGCCUU
Molecule: ribosomal RNA, 360 nt
Filed under: uncultured bacterium
Lineage: Bacteria
Description: bacterial SSU rRNA
Rfam family: Bacterial small subunit ribosomal RNA
Source: RNAcentral